This 29-nucleotide non-coding RNA is filed under the name Mus musculus (house mouse). Lineage: Eukaryota; Metazoa; Chordata; Mammalia; Rodentia; Muridae. The record is from RNAcentral.
AUGACAAGUGGGUCUUGCAGUGCCUGAGG